Molecule: ribosomal RNA, 253 nt
Filed under: uncultured bacterium
Lineage: Bacteria
Description: partial 16S ribosomal RNA
Rfam family: Bacterial small subunit ribosomal RNA
Source: RNAcentral
UACGUAGGGGGCAAGCGUUGUCCGGAUUUAUUGGGCGUAAAGAGCGUGUAGGCGGCCAGGUAGGUCCGUUGUGAAAACUCGAGGCUCAACCUCGAGACGUCGGCGGAAACCCUCUGGCUAGAGUCCGGAAGAGGAGAGUGGAAUUCCUGGUGUAGCGGUGAAAUGCGCAGAUAUCAGGAAGAACACCAAUGGCGAAGGCAGCUCUCUGGGACGGUACUGACGCCGAGACGCGAAAGCGUGGGGAGCGAACAGG